Long non-coding RNA from Paramisgurnus dabryanus, 278 nucleotides. RefSeq lists it as uncharacterized. NCBI's taxonomy places the organism in Eukaryota, Metazoa, Chordata, Actinopteri, Cypriniformes, Cobitidae. The record is from RefSeq and is a predicted model, not a curated record.
GUUGAAGUUAAAAGUUGUAGUAUUUUGAGAAAGUGAAUCCAGUCAGAUUGUGAUGACAGCGAGUGUUCAGGUGUGUUCAGGAUGAGUUCAAAGAUGAAUGUUUGAUGAAUAACUCAGAUUUUUAAUGACAUCUUUCAUGUUUCUUGCUAUAAGCUCAGUCUUUUACAUUGUUGUUCAGUAUCAGUUGUGGAGAUCAGAUUGAUCAGAUUCACCUCUGCAGCUCCAUCAUGGAUAAAACACAAUCAUCAGCAGAUGAAGAUUUUUCUACAGGAUGCAGG